ACACAGGGAGGUCCUGGUUAGGGAGAGCAGAGCAUCUAGUGUUUCAAGCGGGCUCAUUUUAUUGAUGAAUUCAAAACAUAAGAGCGGGAAUUAAUGCCUGGGAAGGGAGAAGCAAGGGGCUAGCCCAUAACGGACACCUAAACCAGGAAGAAAAGAGAAGAUGACCCUAUAUGGGAAUAAUGAAGCUUAGGUCAGAUCUCGGAAGAUUGUACACCCCAUAGUAUCAGCCAAUGAGGAAUGGGGGAGGCACUUGCAUGCUAGGGAAUAUAAUUGCUUGUUGUAAGAGCACCUGGUGUGCCUGCCUGCCAGUCACCCGAUCUUGCAAGUCUGAGGUUGAAGUCUCGCUUUAGCUGCACUUAGUGUCUUGGAGUCCAUUCUUUGAGUUUGGGCAGGUGGACUGCUCCAUCUGGACGUCCCGGCUGUCUACUGAGGCCAUAGAAAGACCGGAGACCGUUAUCAGAAGGCAGUGGAGGCGACACAGGGAAGAAAAGCAGGUACCCGGCAACCAGGCAACCUGGUGCACGAGCCAAGGCUAAAAGGACUUCUUGCCCAGACCCUGCCUGAGUUUGCAGUUCAUCAUUUCCAACCUGGUGACUUGGUGCUAAUAAAGACCUGAAAAGAAGACAAGCUUCAACCCAGCUGGGAAAGCCCCUCCUAACCACUGAAACAGCCGUACGAACAUCUGAGAGGGGGUGGACUUGCCAUACUCCAGUUAAGAGUCUGAUACAAAAAAAAAUCUAGAGAGGGAAGAGAAAGACAGAUGAGAAGUGAAUGAAUCACUAGGGGGACCUCUAAAGGUAACUCUAAGAAGAAGGCCUAACCCAUCUUAAUUCAAUCUACUCUCCCUUACGAUCAUGGUCUGGCUCUGGCUUUGGGAAUUGAUAUGGUUGGGAUGGGCUAUUAGGUUUGGAGCUGGAGGUUGGGGCCAAGAAUGGGGAAAUUGGAAAGGAACUCCUGGAUACCCAAUUAAGCUAGUCAUUAAUGUGAAUCAGACCAAAACACCCCUGACUAUAAAAUUUGAUGCCUGCCAAGUCUUACCUUGUGGGGAUUUAGACAGUCAAAGACAACUUUCCCAAGCAGAUAAGUACCUCUGUCCUGAACCAGAUGCUGGAUACACCCAUGCCAGUCCCUGCCCUAGUUGGGAUGAUGUCUGGUGGACCACUCAAUAUCAUGGUUGGACUGUCGAUACGAGGUGGAUAACUGCAUCCUGGAGGGCCUUAAAAUAUAAGAUAAAUAUAUAUAAAGACCCCGUGCCAUAUAACUGUGGGAAUUUAGAAUGCAACCCUAUAUUAAUUAUCAUCAAAAACCCAGCCACCCUACACCAGGAACCAAGAGUAGCAUCUCGGGUGUAUGGGUUGGGGGCAGAUAUCUCAGGACGGGACCCCCGUGGACGAUUAGUUCUCAAAUUCGUCACCCACUAGACCUUGAGUCCACCUGAAACUAUGGUAACCCCCAGUCCCAAUAACCCCUUUUAUCCACCAAGUAAUGACCCUAAAAGAGUAAAAAUUUUUGAAGUCAAAGAUCUGAGGCAAACCUUAGAGAUAGAGACAGGGUAUGGAGAUGUGAGUGCCUGGGUUGAAUGGGUCAAAUUUUUGGUACAGGCCCUCAACAAAAGUGACUGUUAUGCAUUCAUGUGCUGCAGGACUGUCUCAGGCAUGGGUGGUUCCAUUUCCCCUAGGAUGGGAUACUAACCCUGAAUGAAUGCAUUGUAUGUUGGCUCUAUACCAGGACAAGGAUGCAUGGGGUAAUGAAACUUUCAAGAGUCUGUCAUUGUUCUUUCCCACAUUGAGAAGGUCAGAUCCAAGAGCAAUACCUUCAUUCUCUCUAGGGAAUACGAACUACUCCUCUUGCUUCUCCUGGCAGGGGGCAAAGUUCAUUAAACCUGUGGGAGAACUUUCGACUUGUAGCCACAUCCUAAAUGUUGCUGGUGAGUCGGACAACGGCAACUACUUGGCUCUGCUUAUACCCAGGGCGGAUGUCUGGUGGUAUUGUGGGGAUAGGAAUCUCAAAAACCGGUUGCCAUCCAGUUGAACUGGGACUUAUGCUUUAGUUUAAUUGGCUAUACCCUUCACCCUGGCAUUUUAGCGGAUGACAACAGGUCACGGAACAGGUCAUGCAGGAAGAAAGAAGGCAAUAAGCAGGUUCCUUCAAUUCCAGUACCUAUAAAGAUUCCAUAGGAGUUCUGAGAGGGGUUCCAAAUGAAUUCAAAGUCAGAAACCAGAUAGCUCUGGGUUUGAAUCCAUACUCUUCUGGUGGUCCACAAUUAACAAAAAUGUGGAUUGGAUUAACUAUAUCUGUUAUAACCAGCAAGGAUUCAUCAAUUAUAUCUGAGAUACUCUUCAAGGGAUAGCUGGUCAGUUAGACGCUACUAGUUGAAUGGCUUUGGAAAACAGGAGUACACUGCCAAUACAAAAUAUUGGCAGAAAAGGGGGGUGUUUGUGCUAUUUUGGGUAGAUAAUGUACUUUCAUUCCCCAGUAACACAGCCCCUAACAGAACAAUUACAAAGGCCUUGCAAGGACUAACAACCCUAGCCAGUGAAUUGGCUGAUAAUACUGGAAUUAACGUCCCCUUUACAGACUGAUUGGAAGGAUGGUUUGGAAAAUGGAAGGGUAUGGUAGCUUAAAUCCUUAAAUCUCAUAAUUGUGGCAGGGAUCUUAACAGCAAUAGGGGAGAAUAGUCCCCCCUGUGUAAGGGAACUAACACAAAAAUUAAUUGAAGCAUCCAUUAUAAACAAAUGUCUGUGACAUACCAACAGAAUAACUUACUGUUACUAGAAACUAAACUUGACUCACUCUCUUAUGAAGAAGAGUCAACAAAUUCUAAAACAUUUCAUGAACCAAAAGAUACAAAAGUAACGAUGAAAAUGAGCUCAAAAAGUACAAAAGAAAGAGGAGGGAUUUGUAAGAAAUAAUAAUGUUUAAUGGUCCAUUUUCAAAAGUAAAUGCUAAAUUAAGAACGGGGAACCACCAAUAGCUAGCUUGCACAGCCCACAUAAUGACGUGUGACUGGUGUGGCAAUCCUAAGGCUUACAAACCUGGAAAGUCCUUGAUAAUACAUAAAGCAAGAAUUUGGAAAAAUACUUAGCAACUGAGCCUGGGGCCAUGCAAAGAGGUCCUGGGUAAGGAGGGUGGAGUGCCUAGGGUUUUGCACCAGCUCACUCUGUUGGUGAAUUCAAAACAGUCGAAUGGAAAUUAACACCUGGGAAGGGAGAAGCAAAGGGAGAAGCAAAGGGGCCGGGUCAAAACGGAUACCUAAACCGUGAAGAAGGAGUUCCCGUUGUGGCACAGUGGAAACAAAUCCGACUAGGAAUCAUGAGGUUUUGGGUUCGAUCCCUGGCCUUACUCAGCAGGACCCACGCUGCCGUGAGCUGUGAUGUAGGUCACAGACGUGGUUUGGAUCCUGCGUUGCUGUGGCUGUAGUAUAGUCUGGCAGCUAUAGCUCUGAUUGGACCCCUAGCCUAGGAACUUCCAUAUGCCAUGGGUGUGGCCCUAAAAAGCAAAAAUGAAUAAAUAAAAUAAAAUGAAAAUAAACUAGGAAGAAAAGAGAAGAUGACCUUGUAAGGGAAUAAUGAAACUUAGGUGACAUCUGGGAAGAUUGUACACCCCAUAGUACUCAGCCAGUGAGGAACUGGGGGAGGGACUUGUGUGCUAGAGAAUGUAAUUGCUUGUUGUCAGGGCACCAGGUGUGCCUACCUGCCUGCCAGUUACCGGAUCUUGUAAGAAGCCAUUAAAGUCUCCUUUGACUGC
Long non-coding RNA from Sus scrofa (pig), 3747 nucleotides. RefSeq lists it as uncharacterized. The record is from RefSeq and is a predicted model, not a curated record. NCBI's taxonomy places the organism in Eukaryota, Metazoa, Chordata, Mammalia, Artiodactyla, Suidae.